GGCUUAGCUCAGUUGGUAGAGCAACUGAUUUGUAAUCAGUGGGUCGGGAGUUCGAAUCUCUCAGCCGG
Molecule: transfer RNA, 68 nt
Filed under: uncultured Wenzhouxiangella sp.
Lineage: Bacteria; Pseudomonadati; Pseudomonadota; Gammaproteobacteria; Chromatiales; Wenzhouxiangellaceae
Rfam family: tRNA
About the family: Transfer RNA (tRNA) molecules are approximately 80 nucleotides in length. Their secondary structure includes four short double-helical elements and three loops (D, anti-codon, and T loops). Further hydrogen bonds mediate the characteristic L-shaped molecular structure. tRNAs have two regions of fundamental functional importance: the anti-codon, which is responsible for specific mRNA codon recognition, and the 3' end, to which the tRNAs corresponding amino acid is attached (by aminoacyl-tRNA synthetases). tRNAs cope with the degeneracy of the genetic code in two manners: having more than one tRNA (with a specific anti-codon) for a particular amino acid; and 'wobble' base-pairing, i.e. permitting non-standard base-pairing at the 3rd anti-codon position.
Source: RNAcentral